RNAcentral lists this unclassified non-coding RNA (1350 nucleotides) under uncultured fungus. Its description in RNAcentral is "sequence contains 18S rRNA gene, ITS1, 5.8S rRNA gene, ITS2, 28S rRNA gene". The stretch from base 444 to 1350 matches the Rfam family "Eukaryotic large subunit ribosomal RNA", at positions 1 to 961 of the family's 3401-position model. The record is from RNAcentral. Lineage: Eukaryota; Fungi.
AGAUGGAUCAUUAUUGAAUUUGGUUCUAAGUAUAUGAAAAUUUCAACGCUGGAAAAUGACAGCAAUGCUGUCAGCAAUAAUAAACAAUAUCGGCCGCGUGGUUGUCUUUUUUCUUAUAAGUAGUGUUCUGUUGUAUAUGCAAUCUCAAAUUCUCAACAGUGGAUGCCUCAGUUCUCAUAACGAUGAAGAACGUUGCAAAAUGCGAUAUUUAGUGUAAUUUGCAGCAUCCUGAAAAACAUCUAGUAUUUUGAACGCGAUCGGUGUCCAAUAAUUUAAUUAUUGAACAUAUAUUGCUCAAUGAUAUUUAUCACUCUAUUGUUGCUUUCAAUCUAGCAACGUCGUUCAGUGCUUUCUCGGCACUGUGACUGCAAACAUCCAGAUGCAAAUAAUGGUAUUGAAAAUAUGAUUUGGCAUUUUGGCUGUCUAACCAUAAUAUACACAAUAAUUCUUGAGUAAUAUAAGAUUACCCGCUGAACUUAAGCAUAUCAUUAAGCGGUGGAAAAGAAACUUACAAGGAUUCCCCUAGUAGCGGCGAGUGAACAGGGAAUAGCUCAAAUUGAAAAUCAACUUGUUUGAAUUGUAGUCUUUAGAAGUUUUUCGUUGGUAACUAAGACAUCUACGUCCUUUGGAAUAAGGCUUGUGGGGAAGGUGAUACUCCUUGUCAAGUUGUCAUUAGAAACCGUUCGAGAACUUUUUCGAGUCGCGUUCCUUGUGAUUGGAUCGCAAAGUUGGUGGUAAACUUCAUCAAAAGCUAAAUAUCUAUGAGAAACUGAUAGUGCAAAAGUACCGCGAGGGAAAGGUGAAAAGUACUUUGAGAAGAGAGUUAAAAGGAACUGAAACUGUUGUGAUUGAAGUGAAGGUCGCGGAAAUUUGGUGGCUGUUUUUACAGUUGAUUGCAACUGAUGGAUAGCUGCUCAGUUGGAGCUGGCUUGGAAGUUGGGCAUUAAGAUUAUAUUUGUAUUUCUAUGGAUAUAAUUGUAUUCCCGUUUUGAGCUUGUUUGAAGGUUGCAUUGAAUCUAUUUGGUGCACCUCCUCCAAUAUUCUGUGAUUUUUGUCCCGUCUUGAAACACGGACCAAGGAGUUCAAAUUGAAUGCGAGUGUGCAGGUGCUCAAACCUAAGCGCGAAGAGAAAUCGUUCUGCUGCUAAGUUGCACAAACUGAACAGCAUCCAGCCUCCGCGGAGAUUGAGCAUUCAGUUUGAGACCCGAAAGAUGGUGAACUAUGCCUGGGUGAAGCGAAGCCAGAGGAAACUCUGGUGGAAGCUUAAAACGAUACUGACGUGCAAAUCGUUCGUCAAACUUGGGUAUAGGGGCGAAAGACUAAUCGAACCAUCUAGUAGCUGGUUCCCUC